AUAAUUUUAUUUAAUAAUAAAGGCUUUUUAAAUCUGUUCUUAUCAGCUUGAUAUCUGAUACGGUUUCCAUCAGAGACCUUCGAUAUUAACCUGAGUUUUGGAACUGGGCGGGAAAGGGAAAUUGCUCCCUCCCCGCCGCGGGUUGCUCUGGCCUGGCACUUAUUGCCAGAGAUAGCCCACCCCCC
Molecule: small nuclear RNA, 185 nt
Organism: Centruroides sculpturatus (bark scorpion)
Lineage: Eukaryota; Metazoa; Arthropoda; Arachnida; Scorpiones; Buthidae
Product: U2 spliceosomal RNA
Exons: 1
Source: RefSeq, a predicted model, not a curated record